UACGUAGGGUGCAAGCGUUGUCCGGAAUUAUUGGGCGUAAAGAGCUCGUAGGCGGUUUGUCGCGUCUGCUGUGAAAACCCGAGGCUCAACCUCGGGCCUGCAGUGGGUACGGGCAGACUAGAGUGCGGUAGGGGAGAUUGGAAUUCCUGGUGUAGCGGUGGAAUGCGCAGAUAUCAGGAGGAACACCAAUAGCGAAGGCAGCUCGCUGGGACGGUACUGACGCUAAGGCGCGAAAGCGUGGGGAGCGAACAGG
This 253-nucleotide ribosomal RNA is filed under the name uncultured bacterium. RNAcentral describes it as "partial 16S ribosomal RNA". It matches the Rfam family "Bacterial small subunit ribosomal RNA", at positions 524 to 776 of the family's 1533-position model. The record is from RNAcentral.